Anolis carolinensis (green anole) is the source of this 2759-nucleotide long non-coding RNA. The record is from Ensembl. NCBI's taxonomy places the organism in Eukaryota, Metazoa, Chordata, Lepidosauria, Squamata, Anolidae.
CAAAACUUGGCAAACAAUGCAAAAGCCUGCCUUCCAGUUGUAACAACAUUACCACACCACACACCCACACCGGACCCACAAAACUCACAACAACGCAUCAUGACUAUAACAAGACAACUAAAUGCCCCCAGAAAUACAAAAUUUGACAACACAACUCACCCACCUCCCCAAUCACUACAUUCACACUUGGCCUCCAAAAAAACAAUUACAAUAAUAACAAUGACAACCACAAAAGCAACGAGAAUCAACACCAUCACAGGCAAGAAACAGCCAGGCACUGAGGCUGAGAGGCCAGUCAGUGCUACACUGGGCCUCCAAAAAACAAUACAGUAGCAUCUAACUUAUCCAACCUUCAUGACCACAACAAAAACAAUAAUAAUAAACACCUACACAGGCAAAACAAAAAAAGGACUAUUGUACCACAAUAAAAAUAUAAACCACACUCAGCAGAAACAGACAUUACAACUAACAACAAACCAAAGAGAACAGGGAUCUCAACCAAUUAUCAAUCAACACAAAAAUUGAAGAAGGUAACAGACUUCAAAUACUACUACUAAUGUGAGUAUAAAGAAGGGUGGAGGUCACAGCAUAAAUACAACCUAAUGUAGACUGACCAACACCACCAGACUGAGCCACAGCAACGCGUGGCCGGGCACAGCUAGUCUAUAUAUAUAAAAGGGUAAUGAAAUUUCAGCCUAGGACAAAACAACAAAACUACACAUCUCAGAAACACUAAACUUGGCAGCACAACCCCUCAUCCAUGCCUCUACGUUCAUACAACAAAAAGAAAAGAAAAAUAAAGUCCUAAUUAGAGGGAGAGAAAUAAUUGUUUUUAGCCAAUUGCUGCCAGUUAGAAGGCUAAGCUCCGCCCACUUGGUCUCCUAGCAACCCACUCAGCCCAGGGGACAGGCAGAGUUAGGCCUCACUUAGGCCUCUUCCACACUGCCUAUAAAAUACAGAUUAUCUGAUUUUAACUGGAUUAUAUGGCAGUGCAGACUCAAGGCCCUUCCACACAGCUAUAUAACCCAUUUAUAAUCUUAUAUUAUCUGCUUUGAACUGGAUUAUAUUGACUCCACACUGCCAUAUAAUCCACUUCAGUAUGCAUUUUAUACAGCUGUGUAGAAGGGGCCUCAUAUGAUCCAGUUCUAAGCAGAUAAUGUAAGAUACUUUAUUUCCCAUACCACCAUACUUCGCCACAGCAACGUGUGGCCAGGCACAGCUAGUUACACAUAUAGGCAAACAUUCAAUGCCUUUUAACAUAGAACAAACAUAGGCUCCAAGCGGGCCUCGAACUCAUGAGUGAUUCAUUGCAGUGAUUCAUUGCAGCUGUUCUCCAGCCUGCGCCACAGCCUGAGCCCAUAUGGAUAAUAAGGAGGGAUUAAGGAAAAGCCUAUUAAACAUCAAAUUAGGUUGUGAUUUUACAAAUUAAGCACCAAAACAUCAUGUUAUACAACAAAUUUGACAGAAAAAGUAGUUCACUAUGCAGUAAUGCUACGUAGUAAUUAAUGUAUUUACGAAUUUAUCACCAAAAUAUCACGAUGUAUUGAAAACAUUGCGAUGUAUUGAAAAAUGUGUUGGAUAAUCCAGAACAUUGGAUAAGCGAGUGUUGGAUAAGUGAGACUCUACUGUACUUGUGAUGUGGCUCAGGCAAUUCCUAGCUGUUGUCUGGAUGGGAAUUUCACAUCGAGGCCGCGGUGCCAUGGCACCCAUAUGUCACAGCAGCAUCUAGGUGAAUAUAGACAUUGCCAAAUGGCUCAAUUUUAUUUCUUACACAUAUCACUCCAAACUGUGCUCCUCAAGAACUAAAAUAUGGUCUGUGGCCUCACCGUUACUAGACCGUUGCAACGAUAGUGACUAGUCUGGCAAGACCCUCUUAUAGUGCCGAGAAAAUGGGGAUGUCAGGAGGGGAGAGGCUGACUAGACACGAAAGAUGCGUCAACAAGCCUCCUGACUGCUGCUUCUCUUCCUCCCUUUCUCUGAGCGGAGCCGUUCCAAGUGGCACCUGGAAGCUUGGGCACGAUAUUUUCAUUUUAAGGCUGUUCUGAGGGUGAUUUAGGGUGCUGAUUCAGAAAAUUGCAUUGGAUAGACCACAUCAGCUCUAGAUUAUUAAAUGUGGUUUUCUGUGGGUGAGCAGAUAGUGACUAUUGGAUGGAGUAUGUUUUGUACUAGAGACCAAAGUUGAUGGGAUCUAUCCAAUUCAGUUUUCUGAAUCAACACUCCAAAUAACCAAACUGAAUCAAAAGUUGACCAAAAACUGAUUUGUAACCCUUUUAUUUAUUUAUUUUAUUUAUUUACAGCAUUUAUAUUCCGCCCUUCUCACCCCGACGGGGACUCAGGGCGGAUCACAUUACACAUAUAGGCAAACAUUCAAUGCCUUUUUAACAUAGGACAAAGACAAACAACAUAGCUCCGAGCGGGCCUCAAACUCAUGACCUCCUGGUCAGAGUGAUUGAUUGCAGUUAAUUGCAGCUGGUUUGCUCUCCCGUCUGCACCACAGCCCCGGGCCUUUUGGCACUAAUGUUGGAGAGUGGUCCCUGGUCCAAGUAGUCCCUGGUCAAAAAAAAGGUUGGGAACCACUGCUUUAGACUUUCUGUUGCUAAAUCUUAUUAAAACUAGAGCUUCAAGUACAUGUGUGUGUGUCUCUUUGCUAGUAUCGCCUCCAAAGGAUCUGAAAGUUGUAGACGUGACAGAUAAGACAGUCAACUUGGAAUGGAAGAAUGAGAACGUUGUCACCGAGUACCUCAUAACUUACAUCCCUA